AACGAACGCUGGCGGCAGGCCUAACACAUGCAAGUCGAGCGAGGACUUCGGUCCUAGCGGCGGACGGGUGAGUAACGCGUGGGAACGUGCCCUUUGCUUCGGAAUAGCCCUGGGAAACUGGGAGUAAUACCGGAUGAGCCCUUUGGGGGAAAGAUUUAUCGGCGAAGGAUCGGCCCGCGUUGGAUUAGGUAGUUGGUGGGGUAAUGGCCUACCAAGCCGACGAUCCAUAGCUGGUUUGAGAGGAUGAUCAGCCACACUGGGACUGAGACACGGCCCAGACUCCUACGGGAGGCAGGAGUGGGGAAUCUUAGACAAUGGGGGAAACCCUGAUCGAGCCAUGCCGCGUGAGCGAUGAAGGCCUUAGGGUUGUAAAGCUCUUUAAGCUGGGAAGAUAAUGACGGUACCAGCAGAAGAAGCCCCGGCUAACUCCGUG
RNAcentral lists this ribosomal RNA (433 nucleotides) under uncultured bacterium. RNAcentral describes it as "partial 16S ribosomal RNA". It matches the Rfam family "Bacterial small subunit ribosomal RNA", at positions 29 to 507 of the family's 1533-position model. The record is from RNAcentral.